AUAUUGCACAAUGGAGGAAACUCUGAUGCAGCGACGCCGCGUGAGCGAUGAAGGCUUUCGAGUCGUAAAGCUCUGUCCUAGGGGACGAUAAUGACGGUACCCUAGGAGGAAGCCCCGGCUAACUACGUGCCAGCAGCCGCGGUGAUACGUAGGGGGCGAGCGUUGUCCGGAAUUACUGGGCGUAAAGGGCGUGUAGGCGGCUAAGUAAGUCAGGUGUGAAAACUCUGGGCUCAACCUAGAGAUUGCACCUGAAACUGCGUAGCUUGAGGGUAGGAGAGGAAAGUGGAAUUCCUAGUGUAGCGGUGAAAUGCGUAGAUAUUAGGAGGAACACCAGUGGCGAAGGCGACUUUCUGGCCUAACCCUGACGCUGAGGCGCGAAAGCGUGGGGAGCAAACAG
This 397-nucleotide ribosomal RNA is filed under the name uncultured bacterium. Its description in RNAcentral is "partial 16S ribosomal RNA". It matches the Rfam family "Bacterial small subunit ribosomal RNA", at positions 361 to 775 of the family's 1533-position model. The record is from RNAcentral.